Lynx canadensis (Canada lynx) is the source of this 1339-nucleotide long non-coding RNA. RefSeq lists it as uncharacterized. Lineage: Eukaryota; Metazoa; Chordata; Mammalia; Carnivora; Felidae. The record is from RefSeq and is a predicted model, not a curated record. The transcript is spliced from 3 exons.
AAAAUCCUAUUGCCUUGGCCGAGCUCUCUAGCAUCCCUGAGCGUCUGUUUCCUCACUUGUCUAAGGGAUGAUCGUCCUGAGCUGUUUGUUGUAAGGAUUGCACGACACAGGAAGGUAGAGAGCUUUGUGCGAGGAGUGACUCAUGAGAAGCACUUCCUGACGGCUUUCAUGGUAACUGGGAAGAGGGUAUCUGCUCAGUGAGUCCCCAGAUCGCGGAGAUGGGGGGAAGAAUGUGCUUGAAGGAAUGCACGUGGCAAAUAAGAGAAGGUAGAGCGUUCACACGCAGUGGUUGGCAGCUGAUGAAAUCCUCGUUCCGGAAGGCCGUGCGUAGCUCUGAACUCCCAUCCUGCAGGUCGGAGGAUGGCUGGAGGUCUGCAACGUUAACGGCCAGACUUUACAGGGUGCCCCCCCGCGCACCAGGCACCGUCCGUGAAAGCCUCCAGACAACUCUGAAGUAUUACUACCAUCCCCUGGUGCCAGGCAGGAAGACUGGAGGUUAGCCCUCUGCAGUGAAGUUUAACGAGAGCGUCUUCCAGGAAGCUGCCUAGAUGCUCCUUGGCAGAAUAUUCUCCACAGCCCUCGGAACUAAGAAGCUCCUUCUCUGCCUUCUCUGUCCUUCAGUCCAUCUGUCCCCGUGGAAGCUCGUUUCAGGCUGUGGCCGACCGGGGAGAUGCCGGGAGCCUGUCUGUCGUCAGGCUUCAGGGCCACCAACAAAGUCCCCCUCCUGGUUCCAGCCUGCCCUGUAAUUAGGUGUUUUAAUUGGGCCCUCUGUUUAUACUCAGCCAGAAUUGUUGUGCUGGCGUGGGCCUCACACGGGCAGUGGCUGCCUGGCUAUAAUCCCGGCUCUCCCCUGGGGAGGUGGUAUUUAUUAUGAAGGGGAUGAAAUCCGGGGCCACACACCCAGGCCUUCUGCAGUGGCUUGGGAGCCUGGGAUCGUCGUCUGGGAUGAUCUCGCCUAAUGACAGCGCUCUGCUUUUCCCUAGAAUACCGUCUUCAGUCACUGAGCUCCACAUGACAGCCACCAUUGCUAUCCCUCCUCCUAGACCAGUGUGAGAAGCUUCUAGAUGAAGAAUGGGGGUCCUAGAGCUUUGAUCCAGGGUGGGACCAAUUGCUACAACCCAAAAAAGCCCGGUCUCUAGAGUCAAGCCUCAACUAACUAAAAUUUUAUGUUCCUGAAACUGUAACAAGCUCUAAAGUAUAACAAAUGGGGAAAAGAAUGAAUUAUUACUUAUAAACACAAGAUAUUUGAAAUGUGUAUACUAGACCACGGAAUCCACUGAAGGAAAAACAGUCUACCGUACAAAGCUAGUUGGGUUGAAGUAAUGAUCCCAAGGCGGGG